GACGAACGCUGGCGGCGUGCUUAACACAUGCAAGUCGAACGGGCCCGCUCUCUUUUUUGGGGGUGGGUUGAGUGGCGAACGGGUGAGUAUCACGUGAGUAACCUGCCCCCUGCUCCUGGAUAACUGCUUGAAAGGGCGGCUAAUACGGGGUGUGCCGGCUGGUCCGCAUGGGCCUGGUCGGGAUAGUUUCAUCUUCGGGUGUUUCGGUGGGGUAUGGGCUCGCGGCCUAUCAGCUUGUUGGUGGGGUGAUGGCCCACCAAGGCGGUGACGGGUAGCCGGCCUGAGAGGGUGGGCGGCCACACUGGGACUGAGACACGGCCCAGACGCCUGCGGGAGGCAGCAGUGGGGGGUAUUGCACAAUGGGCGGAAGCCUGAUGCAGCGACGUCGCGUGAGGGAUGGAGGCCUUCGGGUUGUGAGCCUCUUUCUCCGGUGGUGAAGGCCCUGUCCGUUGCGGCGGGGUUGACGGUAGCCGGGUAUGAAGCGCCGGCUAACUACGUG
RNAcentral lists this ribosomal RNA (499 nucleotides) under uncultured bacterium. Its description in RNAcentral is "partial 16S ribosomal RNA". It matches the Rfam family "Bacterial small subunit ribosomal RNA", at positions 28 to 507 of the family's 1533-position model. The record is from RNAcentral.